GCUAUGAGUAAAACGUGCGGGAUGAGAACCUGCAGCAGGGUCGACUGAAUCGCGCAGCGAUUCAGGCUGAUGCGUUAGCAUCACCCGAAGGGCGAGGCCCGAACGGGCCGAGGCAAUCCUGCACGACCCACCA
This 133-nucleotide small RNA is filed under the name Pantoea allii. Its description in RNAcentral is "RtT sRNA". It matches the Rfam family "RtT RNA". Rfam says of the family: This family represents a bacterial cis-regulatory element known as RtT RNA. Lineage: Bacteria; Pseudomonadati; Pseudomonadota; Gammaproteobacteria; Enterobacterales; Erwiniaceae. The record is from RNAcentral.